GAUGAACGCUGGCGGCGUGCUUAACACAUGCAAGUCGAACGAUGAAGCCCAGCUUGCUGGGUGGAUUAGUGGCGAACGGGUGAGUAACACGUGAGUAACCUGCCCUUAACUCUGGGAUAAGCCUGGGAAACUGGGUCUAAUACCGGAUAGGAGCGCCUACCGCAUGGUGGGUGUUGGAAAGAUUUAUCGGUUUUGGAUGGAUUCGCGGCCUAUCAGCUUGUUGGUGAGGUAAUGGCUCACCAAGGCGACGACGGGUAGCCGGCCUGAGAGGGUGACCGGCCACACUGGGACUGAGACACGGCCCAGACUCCUACGGGAGGCAGCAGUGGGGAAUAUUGCACAAUGGGCGAAAGCCUGAUGCAGCGACGCCGCGUGAGGGAUGACGGCCUUCGGGUUGUAAACCUCUUUCAGUAGGGAAGAAGCGAAAGUGACGGUACCUGCAGAAGAAGCACCAGCUAACUACGUG
RNAcentral lists this ribosomal RNA (466 nucleotides) under uncultured bacterium. RNAcentral describes it as "partial 16S ribosomal RNA". It matches the Rfam family "Bacterial small subunit ribosomal RNA", at positions 28 to 507 of the family's 1533-position model. The record is from RNAcentral.